This 497-nucleotide ribosomal RNA is filed under the name uncultured bacterium. RNAcentral describes it as "partial 16S ribosomal RNA". It matches the Rfam family "Bacterial small subunit ribosomal RNA", at positions 28 to 507 of the family's 1533-position model. The record is from RNAcentral.
GAUGAACGCUGGCGGCGUGCCUAAUACAUGCAAGUCGAGCGAACAGACGCGGAGCUUGCUCCUCUGACGUUAGCGGCGGACGGGUGAGUAACACGUGGAUAACCUACCUAUAAGACUGGGAUCACUUCGGGAAACCGGAGCUAAUACCGGAUAAUAUAUUGAACCGCAUGGUUCAAUAGUAAAAGACGGUUUUGCUGUCACUUAUAGAUGGAUCCGGGCUGUAUUAGCUAGUUGGUAAGGUAACGGCUUACCAAGGCGACGAUGCGUAGCCGACCUGAGAGGGGGAUCGGCCACACUGGAACUGAGACACGGUCCAGACGCCUGCGGGAGGCAGCAGUAGGGAAUCGUCCGCAAUGGGCGAAAGCCUGACGGAGCGACGCCGCGUGAGUGAUGAAGGUCUUCGGAUCGUAAAACUCUGUUAUUAGGGAAGAACAAAUGUGUAAGUAACUAUGCACGUCUUGACGGUACCGAAUCAGAAAGCCACGGCUAACUACGUG